Austrofundulus limnaeus is the source of this 1676-nucleotide long non-coding RNA. RefSeq lists it as uncharacterized. The transcript has 3 exons. The record is from RefSeq and is a predicted model, not a curated record. Lineage: Eukaryota; Metazoa; Chordata; Actinopteri; Cyprinodontiformes; Rivulidae.
AUGAAAUCGAAGUAACUGCUUGUUAUCAAUUACCGCUUAUGGAGACGGAUAAAAACGAUCAUCUGGAGACGCAUCGCAUGACCUGGCACUGCGUGGAGUCCUUUGUUGUGAUCCAGCCACAGACGAAGACAGGAGAGGACAGAGAGAACUGCUGUUUGAGAAAAAUCAACUUUUAACAGAGACUCUGUCUCUGCAGGAAUAUAACUCAUAUGGAGAACACUGCUGUAAAAAAGGAAAUCCACAACCGGAAUUGAAGAAUCUGCUGCAGUGACGGCAGGUGAUGGAACUAACCAUGUGAUGCUGAUAACAUGGAGUGCAGCAAAAUUAAACAGAUGUAGUCUGUGCUUUGGAAGAGAUUGUCUCAUUCCUGUGCCAAAGAUGCAGCGGCUCAGUGACGCUGAGGACUGUAAACUGGCGUUGACYUCUGACAUUGUGAAGACCGUUGGAGAUUUCUCCUGGAGCAGCUUCGGCCCAUCAGGUUCCAUUUGGAUCCCCUCUAGUUUGCCCUCUUGGUUUGGAAUUGAGGACACCAUCAUCUACCUGCUGAAUCAUGUUUACACCUGGAUAAGCUAGCUCAAGGGUCGGCUGAGAAACUCACAGUGAUGCAGAUGGAUGCCCUCUUGUUUGUGAACGAGCUGACUGACAGACCUCAGUACUUUGUGUGCGCUUSCAGAACUGUGUGUCGGACAGAGUGGUCAUCAACACUGGGGCCCCACAGGGGACAGUCCUUUUCACCCUCAACACCACAGACUUCAGCUGUCAGAGUCCUGCUAUAUGAUUUUCUGAUGAUUCUGCAAUAGUUGUGUCAGAAAUGGCGCUGAUGCUGAUCACAGGUCACAUGGUGCGAGCAAAACUACCUGCAGCUCACCAAGACAAAGACAAAGGGACUGGUUGUGGAUUUAAGAUGGGUSAGGACACCGGUGACCCCUGUUUCCAUCCAGUUGUUCACUGUGGGCAUUGUGGAGGAUCAUAAACGCCUAGGAGUGUUCACUGACCAUAAACUGGACGGGGCUAAGAACACUGAUGCCCCGUACAGGAAGGGCCUCUUAUUUAAAGAGGCUGAGGUCAUUUACUGAAAAUUUUGAAAAUAUUAUAUAAGACUGGUGUCUUCAUGUAUACUGUUGUUGUGCUGUAGAUGGAGAGUAGUGGAUGCCAACAGACUUCACAAACUUAUCUGCAAAGUCAGAGAAGUUAUUGAGGUGGAGCUGGACUCAGUGACUGUGGUGUCACAGAAGAAUAUUAACUAGGCUUCAAGCCAUCCACUCCGUGUCCCACUGGUUAGACACAGGUGCACAUUCAGUACAAGACUGAGACCUUAACAAAGCAGGACGUAAUUUCUACCUGUGGUCAUCCAGCUAUUGAUACAUCAUUUAAAAUGUUCAAAGUGGAUACUGCAAGCAAAAUAAAAUACUUUUUAUUUAUUGGUAACCCAGGCAGGAGCAGAUGGAAUGAAUGAUGAAGGGGAUGAGGGUGAUCCUCUGUGAGCAGAGAGCAGUGAACACAGCGGUUGUGAAGUUUGGGAAAGGAGGUUUGAGGUUAACCAGUUAUUUUGCCGUCCUGGUUUAUGAUCUGUGACAGUUUGCUUUUGUUUUACAUUAAAUAAGUCAUACGAGAAUACAUGUGUAAAGUGAUGAACAUACUGUAUGUUCAUUAUUUAGCUCACUUUCUGAGUGUUA